Molecule: ribosomal RNA, 566 nt
Filed under: uncultured Pleosporales
Lineage: Eukaryota; Fungi; Ascomycota; Dothideomycetes; Pleosporales
Description: eukaryotic LSU rRNA
Rfam family: 5.8S ribosomal RNA (bases 196-349)
Source: RNAcentral
GACUGCGGAGGAUCAUUAACGUUUUUGGAGGCAGGCUGUAUAAGUCUGGUUGGCAACAACCAGCAUGCCCCUCUGAUUUUGUUACCCUUGUCUAUUUGCGCACUCAUGUUUCCUCGGUGGGCUUGCCCGCCGAUUGGACAAACUUAAAACCUUUUUAAUUGUUAAAUCAGCGUCUGAAACAAACAUAAUAAUUACAACUUUCAACAACGGAUCUCUUGGUUCUGGCAUCGAUGAAGAACGCAGCGAAAUGCGAUAAGUAGUGUGAAUUGCAGAAUUCAGUGAAUCAUCGAAUCUUUGAACGCACAUUGCGCCCCUUGGUAUUCCAUGGGGCAUGCCUGUUCGAGCGUCAUUUGUACCUUCAAGCUUUGCUUGGUGUUGGGUGUUUGUCCUGCCUUUGCGUAUGGACUCGCCUUAAAUCUAUUGGCAGCCGGCAAUCUGGUGUUUGAGCGCAGCACAUUUUGCGCUCUUUGCUGGCAUUGCGGCGUCCAUGAAGCCUACAUUCUAGCGCUUGACCUCGGAUCAGGUAGGGAUACCCGCUGAACUUAAGCAUAUCAAUAAGCGGAGGA